Molecule: transfer RNA, 76 nt
Filed under: Pseudomonas sp.
Lineage: Bacteria; Pseudomonadati; Pseudomonadota; Gammaproteobacteria; Pseudomonadales; Pseudomonadaceae
Description: tRNA-Gly
Rfam family: tRNA
About the family: Transfer RNA (tRNA) molecules are approximately 80 nucleotides in length. Their secondary structure includes four short double-helical elements and three loops (D, anti-codon, and T loops). Further hydrogen bonds mediate the characteristic L-shaped molecular structure. tRNAs have two regions of fundamental functional importance: the anti-codon, which is responsible for specific mRNA codon recognition, and the 3' end, to which the tRNAs corresponding amino acid is attached (by aminoacyl-tRNA synthetases). tRNAs cope with the degeneracy of the genetic code in two manners: having more than one tRNA (with a specific anti-codon) for a particular amino acid; and 'wobble' base-pairing, i.e. permitting non-standard base-pairing at the 3rd anti-codon position.
Source: RNAcentral
GCGGGAAUAGCUCAGUUGGUAGAGCGCAACCUUGCCAAGGUUGAGGUCGCGAGUUCGAGUCUCGUUUCCCGCUCCC